GGUUGUGAUAAACUUCGAUCAGAUUAUCCACCGUCCCUAGCGCAAUUGGCAAAGAACUUUAUAGUUGGUAUCCGAGAUCCCAAGUUCGAAUUCUAGUUGAUUCACAUUUCCAACUAAGCUUAUUUCUAAAUUAAAUAAAUGAAACAGGUAACAUGCUAUCUAUCUCUAAUAAAAAAAAAAAAAAAAACAAACAAACAAACAAACACAUAAGCUGAGACUAGAUAGAAGCAUUCAAAAGAAUUUUAAGAAAGUUCUACACAUUUGCAUUGAGAUGAAAGUCACAAAAUGGCGCAUUUUGGUUUGAAAAUUGGAAAUGUUUAUCGAAACCAAAGAAUUAUAGAUUUGGCAAGUUUUUAACCUAGGCGUCACAGACAUAGACACGGAAAACUGAAUACGACACGACUCCGCAGCUUCUGAAAUAUUAGGAUGCGGACACGGUAUGGACAACGCCAAUAAAAUAUAAUAUUAUUAGUAUAAUAAUAUACGAGCUAGGCUGGUAUACUAUCGGUAAUACGGAGGCCUCCGUGCUACCAAGUUGUUUUCAAUGAUGCGGUUUCCAAAUCGACGAUCGGCUCAGUUAGACUUGAUUUACACUAUUGAAAGUAUUUAGAAACUAAAUUUCAUAAUUUUCGGUAUCAUUUACCUAUCAAAUGAGUAGUCUAAAAAUGAACGACUGAAAAUAAAAAUCUCAUAAAAAAUGAUGAUAAAAAACUUGAAUUUAAGAUAAGAGGCACUGAUCUAACUCUAAAUAGUGAAAAAAAAUUUUGAAAUCCUUUGAUCAUUAGGGAAAUGAUGUCGAAAAGAUUUGAAAUUUGAUUUCUGAACACUUCAAGUGGUAUAGAUCAUAUUCAACGGUGCAGAUCGUCGAUUUGGAGGCUCUAUCAUCGAAAAUAAAUGGGUGGCAACGGGCCCAUUUGCUAUCGAUAAUAUUCUAGCUCAACUCUAUAUAUAUAUUCAUCAUAUAUAAUUCAUUUAUAUUGUGCAAAACAAUUUGUAUGUAUUCAUCAAAAAAUCAAAAUAUUUAUCAUCUUUGACGCAGAUCCACGGCACAUCCACGUCAGAUACAAGUCUGACACGAACACGUAAUUUCCGACACGGACAUGUAUCCGACAUAAACACGCGAGACUUACAGAAAUGUCUUUG
This 1143-nucleotide long non-coding RNA is filed under the name Ananas comosus (pineapple). RNAcentral's name for it is "long non-coding RNA (ACOM_LNC033356)". The record is from RNAcentral. Lineage: Eukaryota; Viridiplantae; Streptophyta; Magnoliopsida; Poales; Bromeliaceae.